RNAcentral lists this transfer RNA (97 nucleotides) under Dermacoccus nishinomiyaensis. RNAcentral describes it as "tRNA-Val(gac)". The record is from RNAcentral. Lineage: Bacteria; Bacillati; Actinomycetota; Actinomycetes; Micrococcales; Dermacoccaceae.
CGUCGACCUGCGGGCGGGGGCGGUUGCUGGCACCCCUGACGCGGGUGCUAUCCGCGGCAGCCUGCUGCUGGGCGGAUCACGCGUCGCCGCCGACGCC